AUUGAACGCUGGCGGCAUGCCUUACACAUGCAAGUCGAACGGUAACGGGCCUUCGGGUGCCGACGAGUGGCGAACGGGUGAGUAAUGCAUCGGAACGUACCUUUCAGUGGGGGAUAACGUAGCGAAAGUUACGCUAAUACCGCAUAUUCUGUGAGCAGGAAAGCAGGGGAUCGCAAGACCUUGCGCUGAUUGAGCGGCCGAUGUCAGAUUAGCUAGUUGGUGAGGUAAAGGCUCACCAAGGCGACGAUCUGUAGCGGGUCUGAGAGGAUGAUCCGCCACACUGGAACUGAGACACGGUCCAGACUCCUACGGGAGGCAGCAGUGGGGAAUUUUGGACAAUGGGGGCAACCCUGAUCCAGCCAUGCCGCGUGAGUGAAGAAGGCCUUCGGGUUGU
This 394-nucleotide ribosomal RNA is filed under the name uncultured bacterium. Its description in RNAcentral is "bacterial SSU rRNA". It matches the Rfam family "Bacterial small subunit ribosomal RNA", at positions 30 to 426 of the family's 1533-position model. The record is from RNAcentral.